UACGUAGGGACCGAGCGUUGUCCGGAAUCAUUGGGCGUAAAGAGCGUGUAGGCGGCCACUUAAGUCCUGCGUGAAAUCCUGCGGCUCAACCGCAGGCGGUCGUGGGAAACUGGGUGGCUAGAGUGCGGGAGAGGAGAGUGGGAAUUCCUGGUGUAGCGGUGGAAUGCGCAGAUAUCAGGAAGAACACCCGUGGCGAAGGCGGCUCUCUGGAACGCAACUGACGCUGAGACGCGAAAAGCGUGGGGGAGCAAACAGG
RNAcentral lists this ribosomal RNA (256 nucleotides) under uncultured bacterium. RNAcentral's name for it is "partial 16S ribosomal RNA". It matches the Rfam family "Bacterial small subunit ribosomal RNA", at positions 524 to 776 of the family's 1533-position model. The record is from RNAcentral.